Non-coding RNA from Hysterangium stoloniferum, 95 nucleotides. The record is from the annotation of a GenBank genome assembly. Lineage: Eukaryota; Fungi; Basidiomycota; Agaricomycetes; Hysterangiales; Hysterangiaceae.
AUCUGGCUAGCUCAGUUGGUAGAGCGUAAGAUUCUUACAGUCCCUCUGACCGGGUAAGAGUCUUAAGGUCACGGGUCCGAUUCCCGUGCAAGGUA